RNAcentral lists this ribosomal RNA (207 nucleotides) under uncultured Verrucomicrobiota bacterium. RNAcentral's name for it is "uncultured Verrucomicrobia bacterium partial 16S ribosomal RNA". It matches the Rfam family "Bacterial small subunit ribosomal RNA", at positions 568 to 774 of the family's 1533-position model. Lineage: Bacteria; Pseudomonadati; Verrucomicrobiota. The record is from RNAcentral.
UGCGUAGGUGGCGAAGUAAGUCGGAUGUGAAAUCUCCGAGCUCAACUCGGAAACUGCAUUGGAAACUACUUUGCUUGAGGGUUGGAGGGGGGACUGGAAUACUUGGUGUAGCAGUGAAAUGCGUAGAUAUCAAGUGGAACACCAGUGGCGAAGGCGAGUCCCUGGACAACUCCUGACACUGAGGCACGAAAGCUAGGGGAGCAAACA